GACGAACGCUGGCGGCGUGCUUAACACAUGCAAGUCGAACGGUGAAGCGCCUUCCUUUUUGGUGGGUGUGGAUGAGUGGCGAACGGGUGAGUAACACGUGAGUAACCUGCCCCCUUCUUCUGGAUAACCGCAUGAAAGUGUGGCUAAUACGGGAUAUUCUGGGUCUGUCGCAUGAUGGGUCUGGGAAAGAUAUUGUUUCGGUGGGGGAUGGGCUCGCGGCCUAUCAGCUUGUUGGUGGGGUGAUGGCCUACCAAGGCGGUGACGGGUAGCCGGCCUGAGAGGGUGGACGGUCACACUGGGACUGAGCCACGGCCCAGACUCCUACGGGAGGCAGCAGUGGGGAUUAUUGCACAAUGGGCGCAAGGCUGAUGCAGCGCCGCCGCGUGAGGGAUGGAUGCCUUCGGGUUGUGAACCUCUUUCGCCAGUGAAGCAGGCCUGCCUCGUUUGUGGGUGGGUUGACGGUAGCUGGAUAAGAAGCGCCGGCUAACUACGUG
Molecule: ribosomal RNA, 494 nt
Filed under: uncultured bacterium
Lineage: Bacteria
Description: partial 16S ribosomal RNA
Rfam family: Bacterial small subunit ribosomal RNA
Source: RNAcentral